This 253-nucleotide ribosomal RNA is filed under the name uncultured bacterium. RNAcentral's name for it is "partial 16S ribosomal RNA". It matches the Rfam family "Bacterial small subunit ribosomal RNA", at positions 524 to 776 of the family's 1533-position model. The record is from RNAcentral.
UACGGAGGGGGCGAGCGUUAUUCGGAAUUAUUGGGCGUAAAGGGCGCGUAGGCGGCUUGACAAGUCAAAGGUGAAAUCCCUCGGCUCAACUGAGGAACUGCCUUUGAAACUGUCUGGCUUGAGGCCGGGAGGGGGUAGCGGAAUUCCCAGUGUAGCGGUGAAAUGCGUAGAUACUGGGAGGAACACCAGUGGCGAAGGCGGCUACCUGGACCGGUACUGACGCUGAUGCGCGAAAGCGUGGGUAGCAAACAGG